CCUGAGUGAUAGGCCUAACUCAUCAACCCUGUGAACGAUCCUAAGCGUUGCUUCGGGCGGGAACUAACUGCCCUGUACACGGGCCCCCGCCAGAGGACUCUCUAACUCUGUUUAUAUGAGUUAUUUCUAGUACACAUAAGUA
RNAcentral lists this unclassified non-coding RNA (142 nucleotides) under soil metagenome. Its description in RNAcentral is "partial internal transcribed spacer 1". The record is from RNAcentral.